GCAUAUUUCAGCGAACUUCGAAAACAAGGAAAAAAAGAAGAAAAGAAAAACACGCCGAACGUGGCGAUUUCAGUUUUCAAGAAUUACUUUAUAUCGCUGCUUCAAUAUAAAAGUCCUCGUUAAUUUGCGACAGCGCUUGCGUAUUCCAGUAACUUGAAAAGCAAAAAUACCCGUUAAACGUCGUGAUUCCAGUUUCUAAGAAUUAUUUUAUAUCGCUGUUUCGGUAUAAAAGCCGUCGUUAAUUUUGCUAGCAGCAUUUGCGUAUCUCGGUAAUUACAAAAAUAGAAAAUACGUUAAACAUGGGGAUUCCAGUUUCUGAAAAUAUUUGACUAACACGGAGAUAGCAAGAGCUGCGAAAUCUCGGAUGAACUGGCUGUGUGUGCAACGUGCCAUUAGAUGCUUUAGGUCGAUGAUAGAAAUUGCAACAGAAACGUUUCAAACGUAAGAAUCUCGAAACACCAAGAGCGUAAUUUCUCGAUUAAUUUGUCGACAAGAAAGGGCAAGAUGCAUCCUUUUGGGGUUGUUUUACCUAAAGCGUCGAACACGCAUAUAGUUACCUCUUUCGAGAUUUCACAGUUCUUGCCAUCUGCUUCGAACGUUUGAAGAACAUACGAUAUCCAAUGUGCAUCGAUCAAUUAACGUACACGAGAAGCACCAUAAACACACACAAAGGUACGAGAAACGCGAAAAGUACCACGUACUAAACGACGUAUGCCUACCAUUCGAACAUUCUGUAACAAGAGGUACCUUUGGAAAGUAUGUAAAAAUGGUUCGAUCAGCAUGGGUAACCGCGAAGAAGGAGAAAAAGAAGGAAAAAGAGAGAAUGAAAAAAAGGAUUGCCGCUGCACCCGGAUUCUCUAUCCGUGUCAGUGAAGACGAAACGUCGUAGCGCGACUCUCUCUCUUGUGAAAAUCUAUGGCAGCUUUCAUACCGAUUACAAUGGCUUCCGUUCAAACGCGUCUAUAUCGAUCGUGAAAUCCAGGCGGCCGUAAUGAGCGAAACAUGUUUACAAUUAUUAUUUGGUCGCGUUCGCUGCCUUGCGUUCCGCGGUGUGAAAUCACGGCACAGCCACCAACUCCAUCGACUCUAAAAUCUCUAAAACGUUAGGCGAAAUUUUGCCACACGCCUGAAAAUUUUCGUUCGUCCCGUAUCGACGUAGAACGUGUGAUUCGUUUUAUCCUUCCGCUUUAGUUGAAAACUACUAGCGAAAGUCGCACGGAAAACAAUGCACGGAGUUUUUUAAUUUAAAUUGCCCCGUUUUCCACCAGGGAGAUUAAAUUUAAGUUCGUUUACCGGGCGUAGCUUACCGGUUAAAUUAAAUACGUUGCCUGAUUGUGAAUUAGAUAUUCCGAGGUUAUUUUAAUUUCAUCGAAUUUUGAGCUUCCAACUUCCCGCUUUUCGCAUUAAUAACGUAUUAUGUUUAUGCGUGUGUGCUUUCUAACAAUAGCAACAAUAUAUAAAAUAAAGUUGAUCGAUUAAUACUUGUUACACUUUGCUUUAUAUACAACGUACUAUUUACUUAUGUAAAUCCUGUAAUGGAUACAAUUAGUCAAGACUUUUUCUGGUCACUGUUACGUAUUUCAAGUAUGAAUUUGU
This is a long non-coding RNA of Bombus pascuorum, 1596 nucleotides long. RefSeq lists it as uncharacterized. The record is from RefSeq and is a predicted model, not a curated record. The transcript has 3 exons. NCBI's taxonomy places the organism in Eukaryota, Metazoa, Arthropoda, Insecta, Hymenoptera, Apidae.